GGGGCUGUGGCUCAGUGGUAGAGCACUUGCCUAGCAUGUGGGAGGCACUAGGUUCAAUCCUCAGCACCA
This is a non-coding RNA of Ictidomys tridecemlineatus (thirteen-lined ground squirrel), 69 nucleotides long. NCBI's taxonomy places the organism in Eukaryota, Metazoa, Chordata, Mammalia, Rodentia, Sciuridae. The record is from Rfam.